This 72-nucleotide transfer RNA is filed under the name Ovis aries (sheep). It matches the Rfam family "tRNA". From Rfam's summary of the family: Transfer RNA (tRNA) molecules are approximately 80 nucleotides in length. Their secondary structure includes four short double-helical elements and three loops (D, anti-codon, and T loops). The record is from Rfam by way of RNAcentral. Lineage: Eukaryota; Metazoa; Chordata; Mammalia; Artiodactyla; Bovidae.
UCCCUGGUGGCUCAGAGGUUAAAGCGUCUGCCUGGAAUUCGGAAGACCUGGGUUCAAUCCCUGGGUAGGGAA